RNAcentral lists this ribosomal RNA (253 nucleotides) under uncultured bacterium. RNAcentral describes it as "partial 16S ribosomal RNA". It matches the Rfam family "Bacterial small subunit ribosomal RNA", at positions 524 to 776 of the family's 1533-position model. The record is from RNAcentral.
UACGUAGGUGGCAAGCGUUGUCCGGAUUUACUGGGCGUAAAGAGCGCGCAGGCGGUCGAGUAAGUCGCGUGUGAAAGCCCCCGGCUCAACUGGGGAGGGUCACGCGAUACUGUUCGACUCGAAGGCAGGAGAGGGUAGUGGAAUUCCCGGUGUAGUGGUGAAAUGCGUAGAUAUCGGGAGGAACACCAGUGGCGAAGGCGACUACCUGGCCUGUUCUUGACGCUGAGGCGCGAAAGCUAGGGGAGCAAACGGG